AUUUCUCCAGCACCUGCUUUUCCUCAUAGAUGAACAUUUCUGCAUUGGCAUACAUGGGCGCCAUGGCUGCCCCCAUGGAUGUACCAGCUACCUGAAGGUACCACAUGUCCUCAAAUCUAAAAUACCGUAUAUACUCGAGUAUAAGCCGACCCGAAUAUAAGCCGAGGCCCCUAAUUUUACCCCAAAAAACUGGGAAAACGUAUUGACUCGAGUAUAAGACUAGGGUGGGAAAUGCAG
This is a non-coding RNA of Pelobates cultripes (western spadefoot toad), 237 nucleotides long. The record is from the annotation of a GenBank genome assembly. Lineage: Eukaryota; Metazoa; Chordata; Amphibia; Anura; Pelobatidae.